This 537-nucleotide long non-coding RNA is filed under the name Gossypium barbadense (sea-island cotton). Its description in RNAcentral is "long non-coding RNA (GBAR_LNC001985)". The record is from RNAcentral. Lineage: Eukaryota; Viridiplantae; Streptophyta; Magnoliopsida; Malvales; Malvaceae.
GCAAAUAGGUGUGUAACUAACACCCUCUUUCUUAGUCUGGAUCGGCAAAAGUCGAAAAGCCGAAAUACCGAAAACUAGUAUUUUGUAAAUUUGCGAGUGUGCGAAUGCUCGUGAGGUAAAUCGAUUAAUGUUUUUAGUAAGCUGCAAAAUUUGGAGUACAAAGUGCAUGAUUUCUGUGCCUUCGAUAUUUUUGGGCUUAAUGGGCUAAAAUUGGAAUAAUGGGCCAACGGGCCCAAUUCGGUAAGAACCCUCGAUACGUGAUUCUGUUAGUACGUGAAAAGUAGGAAUAUGCAUGAAAAACCCUAAAAUAGAUAAAUUACUGAAAUACCUUUAAAAGUGGAAAAUUUACAAUUUUACCCCUAGUAGAUAAAUUACCGAAAUACCCCUAGGGUUAAAUUGACCUAAAUGCAUGUUUGACUGUUGUUAUUUACUGCAUGCCAUGUUGUUAUUAUCUGAUGCAUGGGGCUGGGAUAUUGACGGAAGAAGUACUGAAAGUGGCUUGUCCACGUACUGGAGGCUUUGCCUCAAUUUACUGUU